Long non-coding RNA from Ictalurus punctatus (channel catfish), 912 nucleotides. RefSeq lists it as uncharacterized. Lineage: Eukaryota; Metazoa; Chordata; Actinopteri; Siluriformes; Ictaluridae. The transcript has 2 exons. The record is from RefSeq and is a predicted model, not a curated record.
ACACACACACACACACAUGCAUGCACACUUGCCAGCGCCAGACCUCAUGGGGAACACUAAGGUUGCUGCUGGAAGUGGUAUUAGUGAGGCCAGCAGGGGGCGCUCACCCUGUGGUCUGUGUGGGGUUUAAUGCCCUGGUAUAGUGACGGGGACACUAUACUGUAAAAACAGCACCAUCUUUCAGAUGAGACAUUAAACCGAGGUCCUGACUAUCUUUGGUCAUUAAAAAUCUCAGGACACUUAUGGUACAGAGUAGGGGUAUAACCCCGGUGUCCUGCCCAAAUUCCCCCAUUGGCCCUUCUCUAUCCUGACCCCCUUUUAAUCUUUGAACUGGCUACAUCACUCUCUCCUCUCCACUAAUAGCUGGUGUGUGGUGGGGGUUCUGGAGCACUAUGGCUGCCAUCAUAUCAUCCAGGUGGAGGAUGCACACUACUGGUGGUUGAUAAGAUCCCCUCCAUACUAUGUAAAGAGCUUUGAGUGUCUAGAAAAGCUCUAUAUAAAUAUAACUGUAACUGUAACUCUAACGCACAAUACACACCCUCACACACAUCCACAAACACAAUACACACUCACACAAACACAGUACUCAUCCACAGAAACAACUACUGUGUGUGUGAGAGAGUGUGUGUUUCAGGGUGUGUAUAGUGUGUGUAGGUGUGUUUCAGGGUGUGUAUAGUGUGUGUGGGUGUGAGAGUGUGUGUUUCAGGGUGUGUAUAGUGUGUGUAGGUGUGAGAGUGUGUGUUUCAGGGUGUGUAUAGUGUGUGUAGGUGUGUUUCAGGGUGUGUAUAGUGUGUGUGGGUGUGAGAGUGUGUGUUUCAGGGUGUGUAUAGUGUGUGUAGGUGUGUUUCAGGGUGUGUAUAGUGUGUGUAGGUGUGAGAGUGUGUGUUUCAGGGUGUGUAUAGUGUGUGUAGG